UUCUGGCUCAGGAUGAACGCUAGCUACAGGCUUAACACAUGCAAGUCGAGGGGCAUCAUGGAGUUUGCUUGCAAACUCUGAUGGCGACCGGCGCACGGGUGAGUAACGCGUAUCCAACCUUCCCUAUAGUAGAGGAUAGCCCGGCGAAAGUCGGAUUAAUACUCUAUGUUUUCCGUUGCAGACAUCUAAGAUGGAACAAAGGCUUGCCGCUAUAGGAUGGGGAUGCGUCUGAUUAGGUAGUCGGCGGGGUAACGGCCCACCGAGCCAUCGAUCAGUAGGGGUUCUGAGAGGAAGGUCCCCCACAUUGGAACUGAGACACGGUCCAAACUCCUACGGGAGGCAGCAGUGAGGAAUAUUGGUCAAUGGGCGAGAGCCUGAACCAGCCAAGUAGCGUGCCAGGACGACGGCCCUAUGGGUUGUAAACUGCUUUUAUGCGGGGAUAAAGUUCACUACGUGUAGUGUUUUGUAGGUACCGCAUGAAUAAGGACCGGCUAAUUCCGUGCCAGCAGCAGC
Molecule: ribosomal RNA, 513 nt
Filed under: uncultured bacterium
Lineage: Bacteria
Description: bacterial SSU rRNA
Rfam family: Bacterial small subunit ribosomal RNA
Source: RNAcentral